UAUACGGUGAAACUGCGAAUGGCUCAUUAAAUCAGUUAUCGUUUAUUUGAUAGUACCUUACUACUUGGAUAACCGUGGUAAUUCUAGAGCUAAUACAUGCUAAAAACCCCAACUUCGGGAGGGGUGUAUUUAUUAGAUAAAAAACCAAUGCCCUUCGGGGCUCCUUGGUGAUUCAUGAUAACUUAACGAAUCGCAUGGCCUUGCGCCGGCGAUGGUUCAUUCAAAUUUCUGCCCUAUCAACUUUCGAUGGUAGGAUAGUGGCCUACCAUGGUUUCAACGGGUAACGGGGAAUUAGGGUUCUAUUCCGGAGAGGGAGCCUGAGAAACGGCUACCACAUCCAAGGAAGGCAGCAGGCGCGCAAAUUACCCAAUCCCGACACGGGGAGGUAGUGACAAUAAAUACUGAUACAGGGCUCUUUUGGGUCUUGUGGUUGGAGUGAGUACAAUUUAAAUCCCUUAACGAGGAACAAUUGGAGGGCAAGUCUGGUGCCAGCAGCCGCGGUAAUUCCAGCUCCCCUAGCGUAUAUUAAAGUUGUUGCAGUUAAAAAGCUCGUAGUUGACCCUUGGGCUUGGCUGUCGGGUGCGCCUCACCGCGUGCAGUGGUGCGGCCGAGCCUUUCCUUCUGGGAAGGCGCAUGCCCUUCACUGGGUGUGUGGGGGAAGCAGGACUUUUACUUUGAAAAGAUUAGAGUGUUGAAUGCAGGCCUGUGCUCGCAUACAUUAGCAUGGAAUAAUAGAAUAGGACGUGUGGUUGUAUUUUGUUGGUUUCUAGGACCGCCGUAAUGAUUAAUAGGGAUAGUCGGGGGCAUCAGUAUUCAAUUGUCAGAGGUGAAAUUCUUGGAUUUAUUGAAGACUAACUACUGCGAAAGCAUUUGCCAAGGAUGUUUUCAUUAAUCAGUGAACGAAAGUUAGGGGAUCGAAGACGAUCAGAUACCGUCGUAGUCUUAACCAUAAACUAUGCCGACUAGGGAUCGGGCGAUGUUAUCAUUUUGACUCGCUCGGCACCUUACGAGAAAUCAAAGUCUUUUGUGCUGUAUUACGACAGGUG
This 1046-nucleotide ribosomal RNA is filed under the name Sarea difformis. Its description in RNAcentral is "SSU rRNA". It matches the Rfam family "Eukaryotic small subunit ribosomal RNA", at positions 75 to 1116 of the family's 1831-position model. Lineage: Eukaryota; Fungi; Ascomycota; Sareomycetes; Sareales; Zythiaceae. The record is from RNAcentral.